CUCCACUGCGGCUCAUACCAAAUGCCUGACCAAAUGCUGCAACGCUUUGCCCAGGCAAUAAAACCCAAAAAAGGCCAAACAAAUCAGCCCAGCUUAUUCAUGUGUGUGUGAGGGUGCAUUAGAGUGUGACCUUGUGUAUGUGUGUGUGCACGCCUGAAGUGUAAGUUGCCAGCGAGCCGGCAGAAAGCAGAGCCACAACGUUGUCGGCCGGAAGCGGAAACUCGCGCGCACACACACACACACACACACACAAGAGGAGCGUACACAAAAACACACACACACACUGACGCCCACGGCAGCAAAAAAUAAAACCCUGCAAAGACUCGUGAAUUUUUCAAGCAGACUCAAGUUUCGCAAACAACAGAGGGAGAAAAAAUACAAAAAGUUAAAGCUGGUGUCAGGCUUAAUUGCAAACAAUUUCAAUGGCCUAAGUGUCUGCCACGUCCUAAGCAACUAUUGGCUAAAAUUGUCUUGACUUUCAUUUCUUAUACUGCAUGAGAAAAACUUUGUAUGAGCUAUUCAAUUACGCUUAGCAAAGCAAUGAGUGCAAUUAAGUGAAAUUAUGUAUGGUGCGAGUUAAGUGCAAAUGACUUGGAGAUAUUCCCAAGCAGACGGUGAGAAAAUUUAGUGCGCAUGAAAAUGCGGAAGAGGAGGUGCUUGAAGUGUAGAUAAAAAGAGGUGUUAAUUGGAGCAACUAGCUAGAGGAGAGAAAAAAAAAGGAGAGCGCUGGAGAAGGAGCAACUAGUUGCACU
RNAcentral lists this small RNA (752 nucleotides) under Drosophila mojavensis. Its description in RNAcentral is "GI25507". The record is from RNAcentral. Lineage: Eukaryota; Metazoa; Arthropoda; Insecta; Diptera; Drosophilidae.